UUGUUAUGUUGCAGGUACUGCUUAUUAUCUCUGAAGACAGGUGCUAUAUGAGCCACCUGGUGCUGGUUACCGGCGGGACGCACGGUCUUCCUCCUCACAGAGGGUCUUCUUGGUUUCAUAUGAGAGGUCACAUCAUGUGCCUCUCCAUCUUUCUUUUUCGCAAACGCCCCAUAACGUUUGGCAGAAGAGCCUUCCUCUCUUGUAAGACGCCCUUCCCUAACCCCUUCUUCUAGA
Molecule: long non-coding RNA, 234 nt
Filed under: Lathyrus oleraceus (garden pea)
Lineage: Eukaryota; Viridiplantae; Streptophyta; Magnoliopsida; Fabales; Fabaceae
Description: Pisum sativum (pea) long non-coding RNA (PSAT_LNC006350)
Source: RNAcentral